RNAcentral lists this ribosomal RNA (441 nucleotides) under uncultured bacterium. RNAcentral describes it as "partial 16S ribosomal RNA". It matches the Rfam family "Bacterial small subunit ribosomal RNA", at positions 339 to 795 of the family's 1533-position model. The record is from RNAcentral.
CUACGGGGGGCUGCAGUGGGGAAUAUUGGGCAAUGGGCGCAAGCCUGACCCAGCAACGCCGCGCGAGGGAAGAAUGUCUUCGGAUUGUAAACCUCGGUCCCAUGGGACGAACAAAUGACGGUACCAUGGGAGGAAGCUCCGGCUAACUACGUGCCAGCAGCCGCGGAAAUACGUAGGGAGCGAGCGUUGUCCGGAAUUACUGGGCGUAAAGGGUGCGUAGGCGGCAUAAUAAGUCAGAUGUGAAAUACCCGGGCUCAACUCGGGGGGUGCAUUUGAAACUAUUAAGCUUGAGUACAGGAGAGGAAAGCGGAAUUCCUAGUGUAGCGGUGAAAUGCGUAGAUAUUAGGAGGAACACCAGUGGCGAAGGCGGCUUUCCGGACUGUCACUGACGCUGAGGCACGAAAGCGUGGGGAGCAAACAGGAUUAGAUACCCUAGUAGUC